GCUGCUCAUUGUUUCUAUAUUGGCUCAAUAUUGAUUCAUUUUCGUUCGCACAUCAAUGUUGUGCCAAUGUUGGGUCAAUAUUGUAUUUUAUUCAGUACAUCUAAUCUUGGUAAACAAUAUUGUACCCAUAUUAGUUUCUUAGUUUUCGCCAAUAUUGAAAAUAAUCAAUGUCGGCCCAUGAUUGGCAUUAACAAUAUUUUAUUGUGACAUUGGCCCAAUAUGCCUUUUAUAUUGAUGUUUUGGAUAUUGGCAUUUACAUAAUUAACUAAAUUGGAACAAUAUUGAAAUGCAUUCUGUUUAGAAUAAAAUCGCUACCUAUAGUAGAUAUCGAUACCUGGGUUGAUACUUUGACAUGUGGCUUGCAUCCCUACUAUCUCAUGAUUUUCAUAAAAGUUUGCUUUUAAAAUUCUUGCUCGAUUCCUAAAGCAUCUAGCGCCAAGGAUCGAUCGGGUAUUUCGCGUGUAAUCUAUAAAUAAAAAAAAACUUACACCAAAGACUAACCAAGGCGAUUUGGCGUAUUUUAAUUUAUUUUAAAUAAAUAAAGAAAUAAAUAAAAACAGCUGAAAAAAAAAUAAAAAAAAGCUCUGCCUCUGCCGGGGCUCGAACCAUCACCCGUCGCUCCCGAAUCGGCAGCCUCAACCACGGAGCUACACGCUGCUUUAGAAACCAGACUCUAUUGAAGCAUUACUUUCUUCUGCCGUUCCAAUACGCAUGCGCCGGCGCCGGGUGAUGCUUUGGAAUCGCCGCGCGCCGGGCCGCGUUCCGGUACCUAGAUCAGUGUUGCCAGAUGUAACAUAAUUAUCCAAUUAUUAUAACAAAAUUUUCCCAAAAAAAAUCUGUACCAUAAUCGAUAGUUGAAACAUAAUUUGGUAACCUGUUACAAUUAAUGUUUUAUCAACCAUGAAAUAUAUUUUUAUGAGAAAUAAUUUAACUUUAAGGUAGUUAAUGCAAAAUAACUCAAGUGGUUUUAAAGUUUAAAAAAAAUGUUAAGGUAUAAAGCAGUAAAUAUCCGCGGCAAAUCAAGUAAUUCCGAUUUUAAAAUGCGGGAAGAGAAACCAGACCCCAAAAUAUAAAACUGACUGAGAAAAUACGUUUAAUAGCUGGUUGAAACCUAUUAAAAUUAAGUUAAACCGACAAAAAAUAGAAUCCAAAUUUAUUGCUAUCAUUAUAUUUUUUAGAGAAUUCCCUCAGCCAAAUAUAUCGCUUGUAACAUAAUUUUAUAAUAAAUUCGAUACUUUGAUCUACAUUGAUCCAUAAUUUCAUAUCCGACACCUGGCAACGCUGACCUAGACGCUUUUACUGACGAGUUGACAUGACAUAAAAAGCUGUUGCUGUGACAGUGAAAGAUUUCUUUUGUAAGCAAAUUGUGUUUUUAUCGUGAUCAAAUCAAAGUUCACGGGUACCUAGGUUUACAACUUACAACCACAGAAAAUUUUACUGAAUCCAGCUUGAAGAAUAUUUCUUUAGUAAAAAUGCAGUGAAAGUACAUUUUCCAGACGCAACUGAUCUGGACAUUACGCGAUGUAUUGGUAUUUCACUAGCGACAGCCGGAGACCGGGAUGGGGGAAGAAUAUUUAGAGCUAAAAAUAAUACCAGCCAUGAAGAUAAUAUGUAGGCUUAUUUUAUUACUUAGUUAAUAUUUUUGUAAGAUAAAUUGUUUUCUUCAAUACAUUAAAGUUUCCAUACACA
RNAcentral lists this long non-coding RNA (1689 nucleotides) under Sitophilus oryzae (rice weevil). RNAcentral describes it as "uncharacterized LOC115885041". Lineage: Eukaryota; Metazoa; Arthropoda; Insecta; Coleoptera; Curculionidae. The record is from RNAcentral.